RNAcentral lists this ribosomal RNA (496 nucleotides) under uncultured bacterium. Its description in RNAcentral is "bacterial SSU rRNA". It matches the Rfam family "Bacterial small subunit ribosomal RNA", at positions 28 to 526 of the family's 1533-position model. The record is from RNAcentral.
GACGAACGCUGGCGGCGUGCUUAACACAUGCAAGUCGAGCGGAAAGGCCAUUUCGGUGGUACUCGAGCGGCGAACGGGUGAGUAACACGUGAGUAAUCUGCCCUGGACUUCGGGAUAGCUUCGGGAAACCGAGAUUAAUACCGGAUAUGACCAGCUUUCGCAUGUUUGUUGGUGGAAAGUUUUUUCGGUUCAGGAUGUGCUCGCGGCCUAUCAGCUUGAUGGUGGGGUAAUGGCCUACCAUGGCUUUGACGGGUAGCCGGCCUGAGAGGGUGACCGGUCACACUGGGACUGAGACACGGCCCAGACUCCUACGGGAGGCAGCAGUGGGGAAUAUUGGACAAUGGGCGGAAGCCUGAUCCAGCAACGCCGCGUGAGGGAUGACGGCCUUCGGGUUGUAAACCUCUUUCGCCUAUGACGAAGGCUCUGCUUUUUGUGGGGUUGACGGUAGUGGGAUAAGAAGCACCGGCCAACUACGUGCCAGCCGCCGCCGUAACAC